UGGGUUUUGUUCGGCGAGCUUUCUAUUCUCUUCUCCCUUCUCUAAUCAUUAGAUUACAGGGAGACAGAGUUUAGAUCUCAUCUUCACCUUUAUGGUGUAAAUAAAUUAUGGCAUACUUGUCGGACUUUUGUCUCCGGCUAAUUCCGGUUCUCUCUCGUUUGUAGGCGAGAUUAGAUCUCCUUUCCAUCUUUGUCCUAUCCAUCGAUUUCUCUGUUUUCUUCUAAGUUUUUCCGAUGUCUCCAAUUACUUGUGGAGUAAAAUCUUCGUCACUUUCCUUUGCUCAAGACGCAAGAGCAAAUAAGGAUCUUAGACUACAUCAAUUUGGGUGCAGUCGGUGGUGGAGCUUCCAUGGAGUUGGUGAUUCCUUGACAAAUUUUGAACCAGUUUUAAUUGAUCAAAUCCAAAAGAUUUCGGGUCUUUUUACAUUGGAUUGGAGAUCAGCAUAAGGGAAGAGGAUUCUCACCGCUACUUUGCUGAUCGGCGGCGGCUAAUCGAAAUUUUUGGCGGUGUCUGACGAAUUUCGACAGUAGUGCAUGAAGACCUGACGCGUGGUCUUUGGAAGAACACAUCUUCUCCACGUGUCUAUGCUAAAUCAUAUGUGCAAAUUGCAAUUAUCUUUCUUUGU
Molecule: RNA transcript, 625 nt
Organism: Arabidopsis thaliana (thale cress)
Lineage: Eukaryota; Viridiplantae; Streptophyta; Magnoliopsida; Brassicales; Brassicaceae
Exons: 1
Source: RefSeq